GAUGAAGAACGUUGCGAAAUGCGAUAAGUAAUGUGAAUUGCAGAAUUCAGUGAAUCAUCGAAUCUUUGAACGCACCUUGCGCUCCUUGGUAUUCCUUGGAGCAUGCCUGUUUGAGUAUCAUGAAAUCUUCAAAGUCAAACCUUUUGUUAAUUCAAUUGGUUCUGCUUUGGUAUUGGAGGAUUAUUGCAGCUUCACACCUGCUCCUCUUUGUGCAUUAGCUGGAUCUCAGUGUUAUGCUUGGUUCCACUCAGCGUGAUAAGUUAUCUAUCGCUGAGGACACCCUGUUAAAAAGGGGUGGCCAAGGUAAAUGCAGAUGAACCGCUUCUAAUAGUCCAUUGACUUGGACAAUAUCUAAUUUAUGAUCUGAUCUCAAAUCAGGUAGGACUACCCGCUGAACUUAAGCAUAUCAAUAAGCGGAGGA
This 421-nucleotide unclassified non-coding RNA is filed under the name soil metagenome. RNAcentral's name for it is "partial contains 5.8S ribosomal RNA, internal transcribed spacer 2, and large subunit ribosomal RNA". The stretch from base 1 to 120 matches the Rfam family "5.8S ribosomal RNA", at positions 35 to 154 of the family's 154-position model. The record is from RNAcentral.